Molecule: ribosomal RNA, 564 nt
Filed under: uncultured Glomeromycotina
Lineage: Eukaryota; Fungi; Glomeromycota
Description: SSU rRNA
Rfam family: Eukaryotic small subunit ribosomal RNA
Source: RNAcentral
UUGGAGGGCAAGUCUGGUGCCAGCAGCCGCGGUAAUUCCAGCUCCAAUAGCGUAUAUUAAAGUUGUUGCAGUUAAAAAGCUCGUAGUUGAAUUUCGGGAUCAAAUUGUCGGUCGUGCCUCGGUACGCACUGGUAUUAUUGGUUCCUACCUUCUGAAGAACCGCGAUGUCAUUAAUUUGGUGUCAUGGGGAAUCAGGACUGUUACUUUGAAAAAAUUAGAGUGUUUAAAGCAGGCUUACGCUUGAAUACAUUAGCAUGGAAUAAUGAAAUAGGACGUUUGAUUCUAUUUUGUUGGUUUCUAGGAUUGACGUAAUGAUCAAUAGGGAUAGUUGGGGGCAUUAGUAUUCAAUUGUCAGAGGUGAAAUUCUUGGAUUUAUUGAAGACUAACUACUGCGAAAGCAUUUGCCAAGGAUGUUUUCAUUAAUCAAGAACGAAAGUUAGGGGAUCGAAGACGAUCAGAUACCGCCGUAGUCUUAACCAUAAACUAUGCCGGCUAGGGAUCGGAUGAUGUUAAUUUUUUAAUGACUCAUUCGGCGCCUUACGGGAAACCAAAGUGUUUGGGUUC